GUCAAAAUACGCAUGUGGCUAAUGAAUUAAUGAAUUGAAAUUCAAAAUGAAAAUGCGCGCAGGUGAAAAACAAUCAUCUCAGUCAUGUUCAGCAGAAACCACCGUGGGCCACCGCGCCGGAAAUCGCUUCUGACAGCGGUGGCCACCAGAAACACAAAUUACACACAUAACUGGAAACGUCUUAACCUCCCAAGUCCAAAUACCCAAUCUAUUUCAUUCAAUUCCCCGCCUAGAACCUUAACUGAAUCUCUAGCUUCAAGAACCCUAACAUCUUAAUCUAAAAUUAAAUUCCACUAUCUCGGAAUCACAACCUUAGAGGUUACGACUUUGAUUCCCCUGACCUCACUCUACAUUCUGGUAACCUCUAUGCAAUGAAUAGAUGAAGAUGAUAACGAUACUCACUGGAGCGACGCUGGAAGAGAAUGGCAAGAAAAUACCAGAGACACUUCAAGAACUGCCAUUGAUGGUGUCUAAGUUAUAAUCAUGAUGCAAUAUGUUGAGCACGAUGUUGCCAUUCCUGAUCCAAGCCAAGCAGAGAAAUCCUAGGUCUGGUUUGUGUAGGUUGUGAGGGAUGUACAUGUUUCAAGGCCAAGGUUUGGAUGGUUCUGCACCAUACUUGCAAUAUGGUUCAUGGUUCUGCAUUGCAGCUAAUUAUUGUAUUCUGCAGGUCAGACUUGUUUAUUCUGACUUUGGCUUGGAUAGCAUGUCAUAUGUUUGCAACAUGGUUUUAUUUUGUUAGGCUUGUGGCUUGAUCAAGCUAAGUUCAUGGCAUGAUGACAUCAAGGUUGAAGAUCAUGUACAAAUGGUCAAAUCAAGAUCACAAUGGACUUGGAAAAUGGGAUUAGAACUAGGAUGGGAAAUUUAGUGGUUUAAGAUGGAAAAAGGAUUUGAGUUGACUUUGGUCAAAGUUGGCCAAAAAGUCAACCAUUGCCCAAAGUCAACAUUUGGUCAACAUAUGUUUGUUUUUUUUUUUGCAUUUUUUGUAUGUAAUGAACAUUUUAUGGAUGAUAAUGAAUGGAAUUGGACAA
Long non-coding RNA from Lathyrus oleraceus (garden pea), 1028 nucleotides. RefSeq lists it as uncharacterized. The record is from RefSeq and is a predicted model, not a curated record. NCBI's taxonomy places the organism in Eukaryota, Viridiplantae, Streptophyta, Magnoliopsida, Fabales, Fabaceae. The transcript is spliced from 3 exons.